RNAcentral lists this ribosomal RNA (39 nucleotides) under Malassezia brasiliensis. RNAcentral's name for it is "partial 18S ribosomal RNA". Lineage: Eukaryota; Fungi; Basidiomycota; Malasseziomycetes; Malasseziales; Malasseziaceae. The record is from RNAcentral.
GACAAGGUUUCUGUAGGUGAACCUGCAGAAGGAUCAUUA